AAAUUAUUUCAAUUUUCUUUCACAAUACUAUUCACUAUAAUUAAAAUUAUUUUUUCUUUAUUAAAUACUAAAACAAACCAUUUUAUAAUUAUUUUUAAUAAUUUAAAUUAAAAAAAAAUUAUUAAUAAAUAAAUUAUAAUCAAUUUAUAUUGAUUUGCACAAAAAUCUUUUCAAUGUAAAUGAAAUGCUUUACUAUAUAAGCUUUAAAUUGCAUUCUAGGUACACUUUCCAGUACAUCUACUAUGUUACGACUUAUCUUACCUUAAUAAUAAGAGUGACGGGCGAUGUGUGCAUAUUUUAGAGCUAAAAUCAAAUUAUUAAUCUUUAUAAUUUUACUAUCAAAUCCACCUUCAAUAAAUAUUUCAUAUUUAAAUUCGUAUAAAUAAAUUUAUUGUAACCCAUUUCUACUUAAAUAUAAGCUACACCUUGAUCUGAUAUAUUUUCCUUUUAAAAAUCCUGAAAAUUAACAUUCUUAUAAAAUAUUCUAAUAACGACGGUAUAUAAACUGAUUACAAACUUAAGUAAGGUCCAUCGUGGAUUAUCGAUUAUAGAACAGGUUCCUCUGAAUAGACUAAAAUACCGCCAAAUUUUUUAAGUUUCAAGAACAUAACUA
Molecule: ribosomal RNA, 613 nt
Filed under: Lasiomma latipenne
Lineage: Eukaryota; Metazoa; Arthropoda; Insecta; Diptera; Anthomyiidae
Description: partial 12S ribosomal RNA
Source: RNAcentral